Amblyraja radiata (thorny skate) is the source of this 138-nucleotide long non-coding RNA. RefSeq lists it as uncharacterized. NCBI's taxonomy places the organism in Eukaryota, Metazoa, Chordata, Chondrichthyes, Rajiformes, Rajidae. The transcript has 3 exons. The record is from RefSeq and is a predicted model, not a curated record.
CUAUCUCCUUUUGUGGCCAGAUGACCUCGGGUGACGGAGGAAGUGAAGGAAAUUCACAUUAGGCAGGAAAUGGUGAUGGGUAGACUGAUGGGACUGAAGGCUGAUAAAUCCCCAGGGCCUGAUGGUCUGCAUCCCAGG